Dermacentor andersoni is the source of this 1629-nucleotide non-coding RNA. Lineage: Eukaryota; Metazoa; Arthropoda; Arachnida; Ixodida; Ixodidae. The record is from RefSeq and is a predicted model, not a curated record.
CCAGAACACGCUAGCCUCGCACCCAGGCUAAUCGAACGCAUACUCUCGCACCCGGAUUGCCCGGUCGACCAGCGCCAUUUUGUUCUGGGCUGCCAAAGCGUGUUCGCCGGCGACCAGCAGACAUGGCUAGCGCUAGCUCUAGGACUCCAAAGUGCGGAAAUGUGCCCGUUCACGCGAAUCCAAAGUACAAGAAGUCAUCUGGGCAUCGUUGCGUCGUGUUUGGAUGCCAAAGUAACCAGCGGAAAAGGAGCAGGUUGCUUAGCGCUGUUUGCGAAGAGCACAAUACACGUAGGGAAUCGUGCGCCGGUGCGGUGUUUUCAGCCUGCACCGAUUUCCAUCCGCAACGAAGAAUGACAAGCUGCGCCACCGGUGGAUAGCUGCAGUGAAUAGGAAGAACUACCAACCCAGUGAAAAUGCACGAGUUUGCUCCGAGCACUUUCUGGACAAGCCCACAGAGCAGAAUGCCGCGCCGGUGCUUCGCCUUGGCUAUAACAAGAAGGCAAGCCUUUUCGUGUUUUCAUUCAGGCAGAGCUCCCGACGGUUAAGCGGAACAGUUGAGUUUGCGGUUAGCGAUACUUGCAGCUGCUGCACGGCAUGACCAUUAAGCGUGAACGACAAGUUGUAAACGAUAGUAUGUUGCCCUGCUGGUGAGCGUUAUUGCUAAUGAAAGUAAAACGAAGUCUGCUCGUCACGUAGCAUGCGUCGACAAAAACGUAAACGACGACUGCUCGUCGCCGAAGGCGUUCUUGCAGCGCGCCUGUCUUUACGAGCUGGUGUUGCAGGUGUCAUUCGUAACGAAUUCAUUUGAGCAUCCUGAGCUCUUAACUGCGUGCGGGCUGUUAUGCAGGGCAAAGCGCAAAAUUUUUCCGUUCAUAAGGCGAGGAAAAUAAGGUGCUUAAUUAUUGUUGUAUUUUGUAACAAAAUUUUGCUCGUUCUCACCAGUUUCUUUUACUGUUUUCUAAGGGAGCGCUAACAAUCCGAUAUGGCCUCGCACAAGCGAAACAGGUCUGAUACCAGGUAGCUGCAGUUGGUGGGGCUAAUUUUUUGGAAUGCAGGUGCGGUUGUUGUCUUGUACCAAAGGCUUCCCUGAUGAUGCAGCUUUAAGUAGGGAUGGUAAUUUUAUGUGCCCUGUCAUGGUUUGUGCAACUGUACAAAACCUGCAUCCGUCAUGCUCGCCCUGUUAUAUGGGCUUUGACUGCACAUAUAGUUGAACAUUAUAACUACUGUAGUUCCUCAUUUUCCAAUGAGUGCAGGUUUAGCAUCACAUGCUGCUUGUUCGAGUACUGUAGGCUUGUGUUCUUAAUGUUGUACUCUUAAGGGGUUGCACGAUACAAUUGGCCUGGUGCAUUUUCUAUUUCAUUUUGAGAGGACUUUAUGUCUUCGCAACAGUGAUGGCAUGGGAAAGAACUACAGCCCUUCUUACUAUAACAUAUAUAUUGUUUUCAAUGUGCAGGUGGUGAAGGGCAGGCGUCUGCUAAUCAGGCAGUCAAACGACCUCGCCAGUUGGUUGCCAAACGCGGCCAAGCCAGUAGUGACCAUGACAAACAAGACCAAACUGAAAGUGCAGAGGACAAUGUUCUGCGUGCUUUAAUAAAAUGUGGCACCAACACAGUGCUGUAACAUCCUUCA